GACGAACGCUGGCGGCGUGCUUAACACAUGCAAGUCGAACGAAGUGGCGAACGGGUGAGUAACGCGUAAUCAACCUGCCCAUCAGAGGGGGACAACAGUUGGAAACGACUGCUAAUACCGCAUACGGAAGGAGGGGUUUGCGGCGGAUUAGCUAGGUGGGGGGGUAACGGCCCACCAAGGUGAUGAUAAGUAGGCGGUCUGAGAGGAUGAACGUCCACAUUGGGACUGAGCAAAGGCCCCAACUCCUACGGGAGGCAGCAGUGGGGAAUCUUCCGCAAUGGACGAAAGUCUGACGGAGCAACGCCGCGGGAGUGAUGACGGCCUUCGGGUUGUAAAGCUCUGUUAAUCGGGACGCGGUACCGGAAUAGAAAGCCACGGCUAACUACGUGCCAGCAGCCGCGGUAAUUC
RNAcentral lists this ribosomal RNA (408 nucleotides) under uncultured bacterium. RNAcentral describes it as "partial 16S ribosomal RNA". It matches the Rfam family "Bacterial small subunit ribosomal RNA", at positions 28 to 526 of the family's 1533-position model. The record is from RNAcentral.